Molecule: long non-coding RNA, 779 nt
Organism: Nematostella vectensis (starlet sea anemone)
Lineage: Eukaryota; Metazoa; Cnidaria; Anthozoa; Actiniaria; Edwardsiidae
Exons: 2
Source: RefSeq, a predicted model, not a curated record
AAUGAAUAAUACCUCACAUAUUAUAUCAUCUUAUUGACUAGAUGACAUGUGAAAUGAUUAAUGUGAGAAAAAUAUUGAAACAAAGGAAAACAUUGCUGAAAACUGAGUGGAUUUUUUAAAAUUGGCUACAACUUUUAAUAUUCAAGAAAAAAAUGGUUUGAAGGUCUGGGUAGAAAAUGGAUGGGAUGUUUUUAUGUAGAAAAUCAAACAUUGUUAUUGAUAAAAAAUUUACAUUUAAAAAUAAUGAAUACAAAAUUUUAGCUUAAAUAACAAAAAUGUAUAAACGUGCAUUUCAAAAAUAUGUGAUAAUUUCGAAAAUCUUGACUUCUAGAACGUAUAAUCUUUCCCAGUAAAUAAAGAGUUUAAAGUAAACAAGAUUUUAAGUGAUACUUGCAAUUGUAGGGUAUCAACUUCCCUGAAUGAAUCAAAUUCCCCAACAACCACCCAUUACAAGGAAACACGACAUGAAUGUUUAGACGAAGACUGAGAAAUUGAGCACGAGUUACAAACUUGAACUCAAUUAGGAAAAGAGUGUAAAUUAGAAUAGUCAUGACCUGCCACUUUGCAGUUAUUCCUGCAGAAAUCUCUGCUCGGUAGAGAGUCCUUAUAGAAUGCCAAAACCGCUGCGAUUUAGUCGAAACUGGACAAAGAGAGUCAUACCGUAAAGACAAGACUUCUGUUGCAGAAAAGACGGAUCAUUACACCAAGUCAAGUGAAGAAUAGAUAGCUAACAGCAUUAAUAACAUUCGCAUGUAAGAUUAAAGCUUUACCUGAAGUUA